GGGGCCUUAGCUCAGUUGGUAGAGCGCCUGCUUUGCAAGCAGGAUGUCAGGAGUUCGAAUCUCCUAGGCUCCACAA
Molecule: transfer RNA, 76 nt
Filed under: Microbacterium sp.
Lineage: Bacteria; Bacillati; Actinomycetota; Actinomycetes; Micrococcales; Microbacteriaceae
Also listed under: 12 other names
Description: tRNA-Ala
Rfam family: tRNA
About the family: Transfer RNA (tRNA) molecules are approximately 80 nucleotides in length. Their secondary structure includes four short double-helical elements and three loops (D, anti-codon, and T loops).
Source: RNAcentral